RNAcentral lists this transfer RNA (90 nucleotides) under Candidatus Gottesmanbacteria bacterium RIFCSPLOWO2_12_FULL_42_10. Its description in RNAcentral is "tRNA-Ser". It matches the Rfam family "tRNA". Rfam says of the family: Transfer RNA (tRNA) molecules are approximately 80 nucleotides in length. Their secondary structure includes four short double-helical elements and three loops (D, anti-codon, and T loops). Further hydrogen bonds mediate the characteristic L-shaped molecular structure. tRNAs have two regions of fundamental functional importance: the anti-codon, which is responsible for specific mRNA codon recognition, and the 3' end, to which the tRNAs corresponding amino acid is attached (by aminoacyl-tRNA synthetases). tRNAs cope with the degeneracy of the genetic code in two manners: having more than one tRNA (with a specific anti-codon) for a particular amino acid; and 'wobble' base-pairing, i.e. permitting non-standard base-pairing at the 3rd anti-codon position. The record is from RNAcentral. Lineage: Bacteria; Candidatus Gottesmaniibacteriota.
GGAAGGAUGCCGGAGCGGUUAAACGGCCAGGUCUCGAAAACCUUGGGGGUCGAAAGGCUCACGCGAGUUCGAAUCUCGCUCCUUCCGCCG